RNAcentral lists this ribosomal RNA (339 nucleotides) under uncultured Alphaproteobacteria bacterium. RNAcentral describes it as "bacterial SSU rRNA". It matches the Rfam family "Bacterial small subunit ribosomal RNA", at positions 1062 to 1424 of the family's 1533-position model. The record is from RNAcentral. Lineage: Bacteria; Pseudomonadati; Pseudomonadota; Alphaproteobacteria.
GUGUCGUGAGAUGUUGGGUUAAGUCCCGCAACGAGCGCAACCCUCGCCAUUAGUUGCCAUCAUUUAGUUGGGAACUCUAAUGGGACUGCCGGUGCUAAGCCGGAGGAAGGUGGGGAUGACGUCAAGUCCUCAUGGCCCUUACAGGGUGGGCUACACACGUGCUACAAUGGCGACUACAGAGGGUUAAUCCUUAAAAGUCGUCUCAGUUCGGAUUGUCCUCUGCAACUCGAGGGCAUGAAGUUGGAAUCGCUAGUAAUCGCGGAUCAGCAUGCCGCGGUGAAUACGUUCCCGGGCCUUGUACACACCGCCCGUCACACCAUGGGAGUUGGUUCUACCCGA